This 72-nucleotide transfer RNA is filed under the name Capra hircus (goat). It matches the Rfam family "tRNA". Rfam says of the family: Transfer RNA (tRNA) molecules are approximately 80 nucleotides in length. Their secondary structure includes four short double-helical elements and three loops (D, anti-codon, and T loops). The record is from Rfam by way of RNAcentral. RNAcentral also lists the same sequence under 1 other name. Lineage: Eukaryota; Metazoa; Chordata; Mammalia; Artiodactyla; Bovidae.
UCCCUGGUGGCUCAGAGGUUAAAGUGUCUGCCUACAAUGCAGGAGACCCAGGUUCGAUCCCUGGGUCGGGAA